CCGGCGAACGGGUGCGUAACACGUGAACAACCUGCCCUCGUGUGGGGGAUAGCCAUGCUAACGCGUGGGUAAUACCGCAUACGUUCCUCUGGGGGAGUCCCUGGGGGAGGAAAGCUCCGGCGCACGGGAGGGGUUCGCGGCCUAUCAGCUAGUUGGCGGGGUAAUGGCCCACCAAGGCGACGACGGGUAGCUGGUCUGAGAGGAUGGCCAGCCACAUUGGGACUGAGACACGGCCCAG
RNAcentral lists this ribosomal RNA (238 nucleotides) under uncultured bacterium. RNAcentral describes it as "partial 16S ribosomal RNA". It matches the Rfam family "Bacterial small subunit ribosomal RNA", at positions 95 to 334 of the family's 1533-position model. The record is from RNAcentral.